Long non-coding RNA from Ochotona princeps (American pika), 183 nucleotides. RefSeq lists it as uncharacterized. The record is from RefSeq and is a predicted model, not a curated record. The transcript has 2 exons. Lineage: Eukaryota; Metazoa; Chordata; Mammalia; Lagomorpha; Ochotonidae.
GCAGUUUUGCUUUAAUAUAGCUGUGGAUAAUUUUCAGAGUGAGCUCCAGGGUGACGUUGAGAAGCCAUUGCAAUGGACAUGAGCUCCAAAAUAAGUUUGAGACCCAAAUCUUCCUGUGAUGUGAAACAUGUUCAAUAAACACAUUUAAAAAUUAAAGUGUGUGAAGUUGGAAGGAAAUAAAUG